CAGAUAUUUUUGAAAAGAGCAUUCAGAUGUAAAAUGCUGUAUUGACCCUGGAGCGUGACAUUAAUAGAGUGAGAAACAUGUUGUUGGGCAGAUUCAGUAAAUAUCUUAGAGUUUCUCUCAUGUGCACCAUCUGUGGACCUGCAUCGGAAUCAUCUGGAGUGGUCAUUUCAAGUGCAGCUUCCUGGGACCCAGAAGCAGACUAUGGGGGUGGGGCCCAGGACCCUGCAUUCUGACAAACCCCUCACUCCCACCCAAGGUGAUUCUUAGGAACACUAAAGUUGGGAACCAGUGUGGAGAAAAUAAUGCUAGGUGCAUUCUAGGAUCUAAAGGGUAAAACAUUACACUUGGGUAAAGAGGUUUUGUGUACUUAUUAUAAAACAACUGUAGCCU
Molecule: long non-coding RNA, 390 nt
Organism: Homo sapiens (human)
Lineage: Eukaryota; Metazoa; Chordata; Mammalia; Primates; Hominidae
Source: Ensembl